UACGUAGGGGGCAAGCGUUGUCCGGAUUUAUUGGGCGUAAAGCGCGCGCAGGCGGUCUCUUAAGUCUGAUGUGAAAGCCCACGGCUCAACCGUGGAAGGUCAUUGGAAACUGGGAGACUUGAGUGUAGGAGAGGAAAGUGGAAUUCCACGUGUAGCGGUGAAAUGCGUAGAGAUGUGGAGGAACACCAGUGGCGAAGGCGACUUUCUGGCCUAUAACUGACGCUGAGGCGCGAAAGCGUUGGGAGCAAACAGG
Molecule: ribosomal RNA, 253 nt
Filed under: uncultured bacterium
Lineage: Bacteria
Description: partial 16S ribosomal RNA
Rfam family: Bacterial small subunit ribosomal RNA
Source: RNAcentral